GGACGUUUGAUUAUUCCAUAAAAAAACACAUUCACACUGUAGAGGUCGCAGGUCCGAUCCCUGUAGCGUCCACCA
Molecule: transfer RNA, 75 nt
Filed under: Holosporaceae bacterium
Lineage: Bacteria; Pseudomonadati; Pseudomonadota; Alphaproteobacteria; Holosporales; Holosporaceae
Description: tRNA-Val
Source: RNAcentral